AGUUCAAGAGUACGUGAAACCGUUUAGGGGUAAACCUGAGAAACCCGAAAGGUCGAAGGGAGAAAUUCAUUCGCGUUUCGACGUAGGCGUCGGAAGGGGUCGAGCGACGGAACGCGCGCGACGCGUCUCUCUUCGGAGGGCGCGCGCGCUCGCGCGAUUUCGCGCCCCCUUUCCGCUUCGAACCGACGACGAACGCGUGCACUUUUCUCCUGGUAGGACGUCGCGAUCCGUCGGGCGUCGAUCUACGACUUGCGGUGGAGCCCGUUCGUCGCGUCUCGUACCGUACGAACGGACCCGCUCGUUCCGAUCGACUCGCUCGACGGUAUACCUUAAGGUCGGAGGCCGCUCGAAAAAAGGAGCGUUCGACUCGUCGCAAGCGCGCCACGUGCGUCGACUCGCGGACCCGGUGCCGCGUUCGACCUCUGGUGACUGUUGGCGACGAAGUUCUCGGACAGACCUCUUUCUCUCUCGUUUCGAAAAGAAAUUUUUGAGACGACGACGAGGAGACCGAUCUGCGACGCUAUAGCUUUGGGUACUUUCAGGACCCGUCUUGAAACACGGACCAAGGAGUCUAGCAUGUACGCGAGUCAUUGGGAAUCGACACUAAACCUAAAGGCGUAAUGAAAGUGAAGGUCUUCCUCGCGAAGACCGAGGGAAGACGGACGGUUUGCGUCGCGUUUUUUUCGAACGCGCGAUACGACCGCCCUAAAAAGUGGGACCGUUCCGCAUUCCCGGGGCGUCUCGUUCCCGUCGCGAGACGGGAAGAGGCGCACCAAGAGCGUACACGCUGGGACCCGAAAGAUGGUGAACUAUGCCUGGUCAGGACGAAGUCAGGGGAAACCCUGAUGGAGGUCCGUAGCGAUU
This 864-nucleotide ribosomal RNA is filed under the name Coptodryas elegans. RNAcentral's name for it is "eukaryotic LSU rRNA". It matches the Rfam family "Eukaryotic large subunit ribosomal RNA", at positions 386 to 885 of the family's 3401-position model. Lineage: Eukaryota; Metazoa; Arthropoda; Insecta; Coleoptera; Curculionidae. The record is from RNAcentral.